This 496-nucleotide ribosomal RNA is filed under the name uncultured bacterium. RNAcentral describes it as "partial 16S ribosomal RNA". It matches the Rfam family "Bacterial small subunit ribosomal RNA", at positions 28 to 507 of the family's 1533-position model. The record is from RNAcentral.
GAUGAACGCUGGCGGCGUGCUUUAUACAUGCAAGUCGAGCGAUCGGACGCGGCGCUUUCUUCUCUGAUGUUAGCCGCGGACGUGUUACUAACACGUGGAUCCCCUCCCUAUAAGUCUCUGAUAACUUCGGGAACCGGUGCUACUUCCGGUCUAUAUUUUAAACCGCAUGGUUCUAAAGUGACAGACGGUCUUGCUGUCACUUAUAGAUGUAUCCGCUCUGUGUUAGCUAGUUUGGAAGGUAACGGCUUACCAAGGCAACGAUGCAUAGCCGACCUGAGAGGGGGAACGGCCAAACUGGAACUGGGACACGGGCCAGACUCCUACGGGAGGGAGCAGUAGGGAAUCUUCGGCAAUGGGCGAAAGCCUGACGGAGCAACGGCGGGUGAGUGAAGAAGGUCUUCGGAUCGUAAAACUGUGUUAUUAGGGAAGAAAAUAUGUGUAAGUAACUGUGGACAUCAUGACGGUAACUAAUAAGAAAGGCACGGCUAACUACGUG